AUUGAACGCUGGCGGCAUGCCUUACACAUGCAAGUCGAACGCGAAAGCGGGGCAACCCGCAAGUAGAGUGGCGAACGGGUGAGUAAUACAUCGGAACAUAUCCAGUAGCGGGGGAUAACCUGUCGAAAGAUAGGCUAAUACCGCAUACGAUCUACGGAUGAAAGCAGGGGACCGCAAGGCCUUGCACUAUUGGAGUGGCCGAUGUCGGAUUAGCUAGUUGGUGAGGUAAAGGCUUACCAAGGCGACGAUCCGUAGCUGGUCUGAGAGGACGAUCAGCCACACUGGAACUGAGACACGGUCCAGACUCCUACGGGUGGCUGG
RNAcentral lists this ribosomal RNA (321 nucleotides) under uncultured Pseudomonadota bacterium. RNAcentral's name for it is "bacterial SSU rRNA". It matches the Rfam family "Bacterial small subunit ribosomal RNA", at positions 30 to 352 of the family's 1533-position model. The record is from RNAcentral. Lineage: Bacteria; Pseudomonadati; Pseudomonadota.